GACGAACGCUGGCGGCGUGCCUAAUACAUGCAAGUCGAACGAACUCUGGUAUUGAUUGGUGCUUGCAUCAUGAUUUACAUUUGAGUGAGUGGCGAACUGGUGAGUAACACGUGGGAAACCUGCCCAGAAGCGGGGGAUAACACCUGGAAACAGAUGCUAAUACCGCAUAACAACUUGGACCGCAUGGUCCGAGCUUGAAAGAUGGCUUCGGCUAUCACUUUUGGAUGGUCCCGCGGCGUAUUAGCUAGAUGGUGGAGUAACGGCUCACCAUGGCAAUGAUACGUAGCCGACCUGAGAGGGUAAUCGGCCACAUUGGGACUGAGACACGGCCCAAACUCCUACGGGAGGCAGCAGUAGGGAAUCUUCCACAAUGGACGAAAGUCUGAUGGAGCAACGCCGCGUGAGUGAAGAAGGGUUUCGGCUCGUAAAACUCUGUUGUUAAAGAAGAACAUAUCUGAGAGUAACUGUUCAGGUAUUGACGGUAUUUAACCAGAAAGCCACGGCUAACUACGUGCCAGCAGCCGCGGUAAUACGUAGGUGGCAAGCGUUGUCCGGAUUUAUUGGGCGUAAAGCGAGCGCAGGCGGUUUUUUAAGUCUGAUGUGAAAGCCUUCGGCUCAACCGAAGAAGUGCAUCGGAAACUGGGAAACUUGAGUGCAGAAGAGGACAAUGGAACUCCAUGUGUAGCGGUGAAAUGCGUAGAUAUAUGGAAGAACACCAGUGGCGAAGGCGGCUGUCUGGUCUGUAACUGACGCUGAGGCUCGAAAGUAUGGGUAGCAAACAGGAUUAGAUACCCUGGUAGUCCAUACCGUAAACGAUGAAUGCUAAGUGUUGGAGGGUUUCCGCCCUUCAGUGCUGCAGCUAACGCAUUAAGCAUUCCGCCUGGGGAGUACGGCCGCAAGGCUGAAACUCAAAGGAAUUGACGGGGGCCCGCACAAGCGGUGGAGCAUGUGGUUUAAUUCGAAGCUACGCGAAGAACCUUACCAGGUCUUGACAUACUAUGCAAAUCUAAGAGAUUAGACGUUCCCUUCGGGGACAUGGAUACAGGUGGUGCAUGGUUGUCGUCAGCUCGUGUCGUGAGAUGUUGGGUUAAGUCCCGCAACGAGCGCAACCCUUAUUAUCAGUUGCCAGCAUUAAGUUGGGCACUCUGGUGAGACUGCCGGUGACAAACCGGAGGAAGGUGGGGAUGACGUCAAAUCAUCAUGCCCCUUAUGACCUGGGCUACACACGUGCUACAAUGGAUGGUACAACGAGUUGCGAACUCGCGAGAGUAAGCUAAUCUCUUAAAGCCAUUCUCAGUUCGGAUUGUAGGCUGCAACUCGCCUACAUGAAGUCGGAAUCGCUAGUAAUCGCGGAUCAGCAUGCCGCGGUGAAUACGUUCCCGGGCCUUGUACACACCGCCCGUCACACCAUGAGAGUUUGUAACACCCAAAGUCGGUGGGGUAACCUUUUAGGAACCAGCCGCCUAAGGUGGGACAGAUGAUUAGGGUG
Molecule: ribosomal RNA, 1489 nt
Filed under: Lactiplantibacillus argentoratensis
Lineage: Bacteria; Bacillati; Bacillota; Bacilli; Lactobacillales; Lactobacillaceae
Description: bacterial SSU rRNA
Rfam family: Bacterial small subunit ribosomal RNA
Source: RNAcentral